RNAcentral lists this ribosomal RNA (253 nucleotides) under uncultured bacterium. RNAcentral describes it as "partial 16S ribosomal RNA". It matches the Rfam family "Bacterial small subunit ribosomal RNA", at positions 524 to 776 of the family's 1533-position model. The record is from RNAcentral.
UACGUAGGGUGCAAGCGUUGUCCGGAAUUAUUGGGCGUAAAGAGCUCGUAGGCGGUUUGUCACGUCGGAUGUGAAAACCCGAGGCUUAACCUCGGGCCUGCAUUCGAUACGGGCAGGCUCGAGUUCGGUAGGGGAGACUGGAAUUCCUGGUGUAGCGGUGAAAUGCGCAGAUAUCAGGAGGAACACCGGUGGCGAAGGCGGGUCUCUGGGCCGAUACUGACGCUGAGGAGCGAAAGCGUGGGGAGCGAACAGG